This 253-nucleotide ribosomal RNA is filed under the name uncultured bacterium. RNAcentral describes it as "partial 16S ribosomal RNA". It matches the Rfam family "Bacterial small subunit ribosomal RNA", at positions 524 to 776 of the family's 1533-position model. The record is from RNAcentral.
UACGGAGGGAGCUAGCGUUGUUCGGAAUUACUGGGCGUAAAGCGCACGUAGGCGGCUUUGUAAGUUAGAGGUGAAAGCCCGGGGCUCAACCCCGGAAUUGCCUUUAAGACUGCAUCGCUUGAACGUCGGAGAGGUGAGUGGAAUUCCGAGUGUAGAGGUGAAAUUCGUAGAUAUUCGGAAGAACACCAGUGGCGAAGGCGGCUCACUGGACGACUGUUGACGCUGAGGUGCGAAAGCGUGGGGAGCAAACAGG